UCAUUUGGGAAAACAGCUUUUGCAGGU
This 27-nucleotide non-coding RNA is filed under the name Homo sapiens (human). The record is from RNAcentral. Lineage: Eukaryota; Metazoa; Chordata; Mammalia; Primates; Hominidae.